UGGGGAAUAUUGGGCAAUGGGCGAAAGCCUGACCCAGCAACGCCGCGUGAGGGAAGAAGGGUUUCGGCUCGUAAACCUCUGUCCUAUGGGACGAAGGAAGUGACGGUACCAUAGGAGGAAGCCCCGGCUAACUACGUGCCAGCAGCCGCGGUAAUACGUAGGGGGCGAGCGUUGUCCGGAAUGAUUGGGCGUAAAGGGCGCGUAGGCGGCCUGGUAAGUCCGGAGUGAAAGUCCUGCUUUUAAGGUGGGAAUUGCUUUGGAUACUGCUGGGCUUGAGUGCAGGAGAGGUAAGCGGAAUUCCUAGUGUAGCGGUGAAAUGCGUAGAUAUUAGGAAGAACACCA
RNAcentral lists this ribosomal RNA (342 nucleotides) under uncultured bacterium. RNAcentral describes it as "bacterial SSU rRNA". It matches the Rfam family "Bacterial small subunit ribosomal RNA", at positions 355 to 711 of the family's 1533-position model. The record is from RNAcentral.